CGGCAGGCUUAACACAUGCAAGUCGAACGCCCGAGCAAUCGGGAGUGGCAGACGGGUGAGUAACACGUGGGAACAUACCCUCAGGUUCGGAACAACGCCGGGAAACUGGCGCUAAUACCGGAUACGCCCUAUUGGGGAAAGGCUUGCUGCCUGAGGAUUGGCCCGCGUUCGAUUAGCUAGAUGGCGGGGUAACGGCCCACCAUGGCGACGAUCGAUAGCUGGUCUGAGAGGAUGGCCAGCCACAUUGGGACUGAGACACGGCCCAAACUCCUACGGGAGGCAGCAGUGGGGAAUAUUGGACAAUGGGCGCAAGCCUGAUCCAGCCAUGCCGCGUGAGUGAUGACGGCCUUAGGGUUGUAAAGCUCUUUCGCACGCGACGAUAAUGACGGUAGCGUGAGAAGAAGCCCCGGCUAACUUCGUGCCAGCAGCCGCGGUAAUACGAAAGGGGCUAGCGUUGUUCGGAAUCACUGGGCGUAAAGGGUGCGCAGGCGGGUUCAUAAGUCAGGGGUGAAAUCCCGAGGCUCAACCUCGGAACGGCCUUUGAUACUGUGGAUCUUGAGUCCGGAAGAGGUGAGUGGAACUGC
RNAcentral lists this ribosomal RNA (584 nucleotides) under uncultured bacterium. RNAcentral's name for it is "bacterial SSU rRNA". It matches the Rfam family "Bacterial small subunit ribosomal RNA", at positions 40 to 670 of the family's 1533-position model. The record is from RNAcentral.